UCCCUCAUACCUCAGUCAGUAAAGAAUCUGCCUGCAGCGCAGGAGACCCAGGUUCAAUUCCUGGGUUGGGAA
RNAcentral lists this transfer RNA (72 nucleotides) under Bos taurus (domestic cattle). It matches the Rfam family "tRNA". Rfam says of the family: Transfer RNA (tRNA) molecules are approximately 80 nucleotides in length. Lineage: Eukaryota; Metazoa; Chordata; Mammalia; Artiodactyla; Bovidae. The record is from Rfam by way of RNAcentral. RNAcentral also lists the same sequence under 2 other names.